CCUACGGGUGGCAGCAGUCGAGAAUCAUUCACAAUGGGGGAAACCCUGAUGGUGCGACGCCGCGUGGGGGAAUGAAGGUCUUCGGAUUGUAAACCCCUGUCAUGUGGGAGCAAAUUAAAAAGAUAGUACCACAAGAGGAAGAGACGGCUAACUCUGUGCCAGCAGCCGCGGUAAUACAGAGGUCUCAAGCGUUGUUCGGAAUCACUGGGCGUAAAGCGUGCGUAGGCUGUUUCGUAAGUCGUGUGUGAAAGGCGCGGGCUCAACCCGCGGACGGCACAUGAUACUGCGAGACUAGAGUAAGGGAGGGGUAACCGGAAUUCUUGGUGUAGCAGUGAAAUGCGUAGAUAUCGAGAGGAACACUCGUGGCGAAGGCGGGUUCCUGGACAUUAACUGACGCUGAGGCACGAAGGCCAGGGGAGCGAAAGGGAUUAGAUACCCGGGUAGUC
This 446-nucleotide ribosomal RNA is filed under the name uncultured bacterium. RNAcentral's name for it is "partial 16S ribosomal RNA". It matches the Rfam family "Bacterial small subunit ribosomal RNA", at positions 338 to 795 of the family's 1533-position model. The record is from RNAcentral.